UGUUUUUAUAUGUAGGCUAAUAUUGUUUAUUGUAGUCAGGUUAUCAAUAUAUUUAUUUUUUCAUUUAUUUGAAGACUUAUGUUUAGAACUAGGAUAAACCAUAUGAAAGGGAAAGCUUUCCAUAUAUGUAGCUCCACAGCUACCAUUUAGAAACACUACAUACACACAUAUAAGUGCAAACAUAUAGAAGUCCAGAACCUCUCUAAUUGAUCUUGUUAACAGCUUAUCUCUGAAUAAAGCCCUGCCUUUCCUGUCCUCUCUUAUGCCUGUAAUCAAGGCCACACAGCUUGUCUGUUUUGCAUGAAAAUGAAAUGUCUGAUGAUGCACCUCUUAAAAGCUUGUCUGAUCUGUAUGUAAAUGCUAUCUCUAAAAUAUCCGGAUCCUAUUUGUGAAGGUGACACUGGAACUUCUCAGACGUCAGAUAUGCACAUAGCCAAUCUGAGAAAAAGAAAAUCAAUGGUUAUUAGAGUUUGUCAGAAUUCUGGGUUCACUGGGAACACUAAUGCUGGAAGACUUGUUUUCUUUCUGAAUUAGGAGAAAUAGGUGAAAUCCUGAAAUCUUUUGCUGAGUGAAAAAUGUCUAAAAUUCCAAGAGUUUUUAUAAAAUUGUAACUUUUAUAUAUUUCAAUUAUUCCAAGUUAACACUGGGCUAUUGAAAACAGCUAUUCCUGGGUAAUACUUUGAGUGUUGCUCUUGUCUUGAUUAAAUGAGAAACACUCUGAAAAGCUGGUGUUACUUUUCCAGUUCAAGCUCUAUUCAAUAGUUACUGCACUUAAAACUUAUUUUAAAAGCUUAGAAAAUACAUAAAUGCUGUGCUAUAGCUGGCUGUAUUUUACACUGUGACUUGACAUGUUCUUUACAAAGCCUAUCAAGUAAUAUUUAUGACAGACCUGAAAAUAAUAUAAAAAACAUUCAAACUAAUAUAAAUGAAAAGGUGGGACAAUAUUUUUAUAUUAAAAUCUUUCUUUUGAUAUUUCCAAAGCAGAUCACAAUUUACUUUCAGCAUUUUUCUGGAUGGGACCAAUUUAAUCAAAACAGUAGCAUCUGAAGCACAACCCCCCCCUUGUUUUUAUCAAAACAUUAUUUCCCCAAGGAAAGCUGUUUUAAACACAAGCUUAUAACUAGAGUUGAAUCUUACCAAGAAUUUCAUUAUUUUAACUUUUACACAUCUCUUUGUGAGCUUAAGAUGGAGCCGCAAGGGUCAAGACCAACUAGUUCACCAUGAAUUGUCUAAGGAUUGGAUCAGGAACAGAGAGUUUCCCUGCUGCCAGGAAAGUUUGUCGAGAGAACAGGAAACGAAGAUGAAGCAGGUAGGAGCAAAUGUCUUUGUUGCAUUGGAAAAGGAUGAAAUAUUACCAGUGUUUGAUACCAUACUGCUCAAGAUUCACACAGACAUACGGCAACAUCUUCACCAGCAAUUUGGACUUGCAUUCACUGAGGUGCGAGGUUGAUGCAGCCACCAAAAAGAGGCAGUGCCCAGUCAACUCUCAUUCUAGUCCUGCUGAAGGGAGAAGUGGAAGGAGCUCUGAUGGGCUGCAGAAUGUGCUCCACACCUGGGGACCCCUCUCCAGCAAGAGUGGGAAAGGGAAAUGAGGCUUUACUGCUCUUUUGUGCACUGCAGGUUCAUUUGGCUGAGCUGCUUUGAGGUGGCUUUGUUGCUUUCUUUGAGUUUUCCAGCACAGAUUAGAGCACAUCUGAACUCAGUAGCAAAUCUUUGAAAUUAAAGGGGAAAAGCAGAAACAAUUUUUUUUUUUUGCCCAGGUAACUGGGUAAACAGCUAUUCACCAGAAUUACUGUAUGUACUGUCAGAAAAUAACCUGUUUUCAAAAGUGCAUUCAGCUGUUCAGUUCUUCAGAUUUGGGUGUCUGGUUUUUUCUCAUUCUGCUCCUCAGGAUGUGCUUUCACACGCUUUCAUGACGCUUAGCUUUUUAUGAUUCAAAUUUGAGCACUUUCUGUUUGAUGCUGUGCAUGUAUUUUAACAUACUCCAGGUAAAAUACUUUGCAGUGAAAUACCGCACUAGUCAAAUGGGCUUUUUUUUAUUAAAAAGCAUAUUUAAUUUUAAGCCUGGUGUUUUGGGCCCACUUUUCACCUUACAGUUGACUUCAGGUCUCAAAAGUCUGGUUCCAACAGAGCAAUACAUCGGCUUCUUUUCUACACAGCAUGGCUGUUGCAUGGAAAUGACAUAUUUUCCUGUUUUCACCCUUUUCCUUAAUGGAAGAUACAGUAAGAGAACACCUUCUAUAGCCUGUAUUUUUAAAAUGUCAAGAGCAGUUAGAAAAAGCACCCACUUCACUAUAAAUAUGUAUAAGGUCUGAAGUCUUCAAGUUAAUAUGUACAAAACGUGGUAGCAAUCUAGAAAUUUUCAAAAUACCAUACAGCAGACUCAAAUGGGCUUUAAAGCACUCCAGGGCUCUUGACAUUAUUGCAAUUGUUGUCAGAGAAAGACGUGACAUCUCUCGAGCAGAAUCUACAUAAUGCUCCCAAAAGGGUGGAAGGGAAGACAGCAUUUCUUUUGGAAAGACGUAAUAAUGCCUCCUGAUCUUCCUCCGAUGGGUUGCUAGUACAGCACAGGGCCAAAUGCUAAAAAAUUUAAAUCAUUACAAUUUUUGUAGAACUUUGUGCUUCCUUUGGGAGAAAGGGACCAUCUUGCCUUGUAGGGCUGGGCUAUUCACAUCUAUAAAGCACUUGAAAAUCUUACGGGAAAUUUCAUAGCAGUGCAAGGGUAGAUGUGCUCAGGAAGAUGAGCUUUUUUUCCCCACUGAGCACAGUUUUUCUAACACUGUGAAGCACCAUCUGCAUUGCAUCGUAGACUGCUUUUGAAAGAAUCACUGGCAAAAUGCAUAGGCCUUGGUUCUCACAUCUUAAAGACGAAAUUAUGGCCCGUACACUUGAACUGAAAAGCACCUAUUUAGAGCCAGUGUGAGCAGCUCACUCACCACAGGAAGGCUCAUUGAGGUCUGUGAAUAAAUGUUUCUCAAAAGGGACCAGAGAUGCCCUGUAUUCUGGUUUGAACUUUUUUCCACCAAGCCAGUAACAGUAGAUAACCAUCUUUUUUUAUCUAUUAGGUGUCAUUUAGACCUUGUACCUUUACAAAUAUGAGCUAAGCCUCUGGUUUUCCGUUAGCUUGGAAGUACAUACAGUAGUGUCAGCCUGACCGGCCAUUUUCACUUUUCUAGUGACCCAAUAAAACCAUUAGCAAAUAUGAGAAUUGCACAAAGUACUACCUGCAUGUUUCCCUUUCAGGUCUGUGUUAAUCACUUCCAUAUCAGCUCUAAGACUUCGACCCAAAUGGGUGUUGUGUAAAACAAUGUAUUUCAAACUAUGGUGAUUGAUAGUUAACCAAAAGAAAGCAAGCAUAGCAUCUUCUGAUGAAAUGAAAGGCCACUACAGCAGUUCUGUGGGGUUUGGUAGCUGCAGGACACUCCGAAGUUUUAGGAGACUUGCUGAUCAACACUGCGGCAAUGCAAGGGCAACCAAUGGGGCUUGGACUGCGAAGCCUGGAAACCUUCAGUUUUCUCUCUGGAACUCUUUAUGUCUUGAGAAAAAGUCCUGAGUGUUUUCUAUAGGCCACUUAUUAGUGCUAGCAGACUAUAUCCUCCAGAGAAAUGUACUAUAUUGCACUAUAUCCUCCAGAGAAAUGGCAAGGUAGAUAUUUAAGUCAGACAUUCUCAGUGCAGGGAAAAUAUGUUAUAGUAUUUCUAUUCUGUUUAUUGGUAACACAAGGCUAGGAAUCAGGGCUCUGAACGGUCUUUAAGAUUCAAAGUCUCAUGAGUACCAGAGAGACUUAGGCUCCCAGACACCUCAUAAAUCUGGACCACGAGUACUGUUUCCUUUCUCUUCCGGGAUGGUUGAAUCAUUUUAAACAGCAGAAGAGAAAAUAAUGAAUAACAACGUGAGACUGAUCGAGUUUAUACACAGUGCUAUCUUAGAAAUAGUAAUGCCAAAGAGCCAUUCCUCAAAUUUUUAGUGGUAACAGCUUCCACACCAAGAAAUGCUUGGAAAGACAGACAAGUGCACACUAAGGUAAAGCUAGAUGGUGAUCCUAUUUCUUGACAGCUUACUUGUUGCUUCCUUUCUGUCUUCCUUCUUCAUCUUUAUCUAUGUUGUUCAUUUGGUGUAUUCUGUUAAUUUCCCUGUCUGAAGUUCAUUUUGUCCUUUUUCACUUCCAAUCUCCAGUGUUUCUUUGUUUAUCUUCGUAACAGGUUAUUGUUUCAAGAUUGUUAGGUCUUCUCCAUUUUAUGUCCCUCCUUUAUCCUGCCAGACAUCACUAAGCUUUCCUUGUUUCAAGCAACAUUAACCUUUAGCCAUUGAUCUUGAAAUAGAAUUCAAAAAUAAAACAUCAGACUUUCUAAUUCAGUUCUCCUUACCUAAUCUAUUUCAGAUGCCAUUUCAAAGUUAAUAUUACUGCCCAUUUAAAUACAGCUUGCUGUACUGAGAGAACAACUUGCCUCCAAUCUGAGUCAUUUCUCUCUGAUGCAGAAAUUUGUUUUAUUAAAGGUAGUGUAGAAUACAUUCAGAUGUUCAUUGAGAUGAGAUCUGUUUAGCACUUAGUACGAUCAAAGCAAAUCAAUAGAGUUCUGGGUCAGCUCAGGUCUAAUUGUGGAUCAGAGCUUGCAAAUGAGCAGAUAAUGAAGGUGUCUUGGCUAAGCAAAAUACCUAUCAAUCAGUCUGGAUGCUAAACUAGUCUCCCC
Long non-coding RNA from Strigops habroptila (Kakapo), 4691 nucleotides. The record is from Ensembl. NCBI's taxonomy places the organism in Eukaryota, Metazoa, Chordata, Aves, Psittaciformes, Psittacidae.